CAAUAUCUUUGCUCUAUUGCUGGACCUUUUUAAGAAGAGAUUGGAUAACUGUUUAUCUAAAAUAUUACAGGGCCUCAUGCUUGGGCAGGGGGUUGGAGUAGAAGUCUUCCAAAAUUCCCUUCUAACUAUCCCCAUGUAUUC
This is a non-coding RNA of Pseudonaja textilis, 141 nucleotides long. Lineage: Eukaryota; Metazoa; Chordata; Lepidosauria; Squamata; Elapidae. The record is from RefSeq and is a predicted model, not a curated record.